This 958-nucleotide long non-coding RNA is filed under the name Triticum aestivum (bread wheat). RNAcentral describes it as "long non-coding RNA (TAES_LNC008554)". Lineage: Eukaryota; Viridiplantae; Streptophyta; Magnoliopsida; Poales; Poaceae. The record is from RNAcentral.
UUACACAGCUACACAGCCAUCCAGUACGUAGCAUAAUCAACGACAGAGUACCCAACUGUACUACACUAGGCAAAGACUUGCUGAUGCAAAAUUACCAUCCAUUUUUCUUACUACAAAAUGAACUUCCAAUUCACUAGGUAGUGCCCUUUUUCUCUCUGCGUUUCUCAUAAACAACAAAAUGAACUUCAAAUGAACAUAGAUGUUCUCUUCUUUUUCUUAUUGGGCGCACUUCUUCUUGAGUAAACUGCACAUUGACGCAAACAAAACAUCAACUAAGCACAAAGCGAACCUCUUCUUUGAGUAAACUGCACGGCCAGGGGGGACUGCAAAAAAAAGCAACGAACUAUGGCGGCGAGCACUGAAAUGAACUCGCCGGUGCCACUGGACUGCACGUCUGACCACGAGCCUCGUGCCACCGGAAUGCAAGCACGCUCGCCGGUGGACUGGACAUCCAGCCGCACCGCAGUGAUGCACAAAGCGAACUGAAGUGUUUGUGCCCAAGUGAAAUCUGGAAAGGCAAAAAAAUUGAAGGGGACGAGAGGAAGCCGGAGGCCGGUGCUUGCAGUGCGGAGAAGGUACGAUACGGCGGCCGGAUCUAGUAGGAGGUUGUCGGGGCUCCCGGAAACAGCAGGUCGCCGGAGUAGGAGGCAGGGGCAGCUGGAGGCACAUUGCUACACAUGUACCAGGCGGCGGUGGAGCUUCCCUAUCGCCAGAUCCAGAGCAGCCGGUGGAUCCGGCGGGGCGGGACGACAUGGAUCCCAAUGGAACUCGACCUGACUGCUGCGGCCGCUCGGGAUCCCUCGCCAGAGAAGGAAAAGGAAGGAGGCAGCGCCGUGGCUACGGGACAUGGCAGAGCGCGAGGUGGUGGGUCACGGCUGCAUCCGUCGGCUUUGCGGUUGCACCGGUGGCCAUGGCGGCCGGAUCCGGUGGUGGAGGCCUCGCCGGUGGCCGGUGGCGG